Esox lucius (northern pike) is the source of this 82-nucleotide small nucleolar RNA. RefSeq annotates it as small nucleolar RNA U54. The transcript has a single exon. The record is from RefSeq and is a predicted model, not a curated record. Lineage: Eukaryota; Metazoa; Chordata; Actinopteri; Esociformes; Esocidae.
UGGCUAUGAGGAUACAAAUGUAAUAUGACAUGGCUAAUGCUAUGACAAAUUCUGAUUCAUUAUACGCUAUUCUGAGCCAUUU